CCUUGGCAAAUGGAAGUUCCCAGGCUAGGGGUCAAACUGGAGCUGCAACUGCUGGCCUACAUCAAAGCCACAGCAAUUCAUGAUCUGAGCUGCGUCUAUGACCCACACCACAGUUCAUGUCAAUGCUGAAUCCUUAACCCACUAAGCAAGGCCAGGGAUCAAACCUGCAUCCUUACGAAUAAUUCAUCACCAUUGCACCACCACAGGAACUCCAGAAUGCAUAUCACUUUAAAAACUUGUAAUGAAGAAAAACAUUAAGCACGAAUAAUGGAUGAAGGAAUUCUCUACUGGACAGUCCCUGUUCCCGUGAAGUGUCCCUGGCAUUAAAAAGAGGACACAUUCUGUAAAGGUACAGACUGCAUAUAAAUAAGAGCUAAAGAGAGGUGGUCUGAUUCAACAGAGGAAGCACCCAGGCUGAUGUUCUGGUUCUGCUACUUCUGUCUGACCUUGGACUUAAUAAGAUCACUUGACUUUUCCAAGCCUCUUAUGCCUCAUCUUCAAAAUGGGCCUUGAGGUUUUGUGGAAACCAAAGGAUACCAUGUGGGUCAGAGGACUCUGUCUACUUGAAGGCCCCUACGGAACCCUUAUGUAUUAACAAUCAAAUUUUCAAAUUAAAAUACUCUAGUGUAUUUUUCUUCCACUGCAGCCAGCAAACUGUCACUAUUAUACCUGGAGUGGGUGAUCAAGCACAAGAAGUUCCCAAAGUUCUAUUUCUGCUGUGAGGGAAAAAUGGAAAUAACUGGGCAAUGUUGGUACAUCCUAAGCCAAACAUAUAUAUAUGGCAUAUAUGGCAGGCGUACUGGACCAUGAAGUUAAUGAUGGCUACUAUCUUCCUUUGAGUUAAUGAUGCUUACUGCUAAUUGCUAUAAUCAAGAAAGUCUUAGCCAUUUAGAUAAUCAAGACAUUUUUCAAUUCAUAUGCAAGAUCAGUGUUUAGCAAAGAGAAGACAAAGCAGCAGGUAACCUUGAAAGUGGCAAUCAGGGCGUUUCUGUCUCAGCGCAGUAGCAACGAACUCAACUAAUAUCCAUGAGGAUGUGGGUUCAAUCCCUGGCCUCACUCAGUGGGUUAAGGAUCCGGCAUGGCCAUGAGCUAUGGUUAGGUCACAGAUGUGGCUCGGAUCCUGAGUUGCUGUGGAUGUGGUGUAGGUGGGCAGCUGUAGUUCCGAUUCAACCCCUGGCCUGGGAACUUCCAUAUGCCAUGGUACAGCCUUAAAAAAGACAUUAAAAAAAAAAAAAAAAAAAAAAAAAGGAAAAAAGAGGUGAGUUGGAGCAGGGCUGGGAAAUUGCUAGAUGUUGGUAAGUAAUUAUCAAAACUAGAGGAAUUCUAGAGAGGCCUAGACUAGGGAAAGAGAGGAAGGAGAUAGCUUUUCUUCUGCAGUGGCAGUUAUGACAAGGACAGGAUACACCUGGCAGAAGGAAACUGAAGUUAGCAGAAGUAGUGAGCCCGAAAGAGAACCUUAUGAAGCAUUCUGCUUCCAGAGGAGGCACACAUAAAGUGAUUAGGGUGUCAUCUUGGAAGGUCAAGAAAAAACUCUAAAAGAGGGAAGGGAAUGUUCACUUGGUCAGACUGUGGAUUUCAUGUUAGUUUGGAUGAAAGAUGAGCAUCGUUGUGUAGCGCUCUGAAGGGGAUGUGUUAAGACAAAUUACAAUGACCAGGAUAAAUCUAUUGAAAGCUCUGGACCUAGGAGAUGCUGCAUAAGAGUUUCUGGAUCUGAGCUUCCUAUAUGUUCUGAACAACUGAUUAAUCACGUUGUUCAUUCAUCAGUUGAAGGACCCAUAUGGACCAAAAACUAUGCCAAGCACUGGGGAUGCAGUGAUGGAGAAGACACAGUCUCUGCCCUCCAGGAGCUCACAGACAAGCAAUAACUAAAACAGCAGUUAGUAUUAUGAGAAGGAUAAGCACAGGGCACCAAAUUCAGCUUCGGUGAGAUCAGAGAAGGCUCACCAGAAGAAGUGGGGCUUAUGUGGAGACUAGGAGUAUCCACUGUAGCCAGAGGAGGUGAUGGAGAAUAGCAUGUGCAAAGGUCCUGAGGCAGGAGAGGGCUUAGCAAAUGAGGGAAACGAAGCAGCUCAGUAUGGCUGGAGUAUGGACAGUGAAAGGGAAAUUGGCCAGACAUGGUGUAAAAAAGUAAGCAGAAGCCAGAUCAUAAAGGGUCUUGUGAAUAAUGAUCAGUGGAAUGGGGAAUCAGAGGGAGGCAGUGAAGAACCACUGAAGGGAAAGGAAAUGAAGCAAAUCUUCAAGCUUCAUUUUUUCACCUAAAAAAUUUAGAAAUCAUUCCACCUUCCUCAGUGAGUUAUACUAAAUACCAAAUAAAAAUGUAUGAGAACUUUGUAAAGUUUACUAAAAAAACCUUUCCCUCAACUUGCAGAAUAGUUUACAUUAAAUUUGUCUUCUUUGCAUGAAAGACAUGAAUUCCAUCAGCAUACAUACCAUGUACCAGCUCUUUAUCACUUAGCUUAUACUUCUUUGACAAGUGGGAAAAAAAAAAGGGAAACAAUAAAAAACACCAACUUUCCCUCUGCAGGUCAUUACUCAGGUCACAGGAGGCCCACUCUGACUUGCCAACUUAAAAAUCCAAUGGGCACACCCCCCCUCGCGGGUCCCUCUUAGCCUGCUCUACUUUUAUUUUUUCCAUUGCACUUAUUUCCUUUUGGCAUUCUAUAAUAUUUAUUAUGUAUUCAUUGAUAUAUAAGCUCCUUGAGUGCAAGGAUCUUCAUCAGUUUUUUUGUUUGUUUGUUUGUGGUUUUUUUUUUGUCUUUUUAGGGCCGCACCUGCAGCACAUGGAAGUUCCCAGACUAGGGGUCGAAUCAGAGCUGUCAAGUUGGAACCAGCCUACAUCAUAGCCACAGCAACUCAGGAUCCGAGCAGCAUCUGUGACCUACAUCACAGCUCAUAGCAAUGCCAGAUUCUUAACCCACUGAGGGAGGCCAGGGAUUGAA
Molecule: long non-coding RNA, 2939 nt
Filed under: Sus scrofa (pig)
Lineage: Eukaryota; Metazoa; Chordata; Mammalia; Artiodactyla; Suidae
Description: lncRNA (ENSSSCG00040009283.1)
Source: RNAcentral